AGAGUUUGAUCCUGGCUCAGGAUGAACGCUAGCGACAGGCUUAACACAUGCAAGUCGAGGGGCAUCGGGGAGUAGCAAUACUCUGCCGGCGACCGGCGCACGGGUGAGUAACGCGUAUGUAACCUGCCUUAUACAGGGGGAUAGCCCAUGGAAACGUGGAUUAAUAUCCCAUAGUACUGAGAGACCGCAUGGUUUUUCAGUUAAAGCUUCGGUGGUAUAAGAUGGACAUGCGUCCUAUUAGGUAGUUGGU
RNAcentral lists this ribosomal RNA (250 nucleotides) under uncultured bacterium. RNAcentral's name for it is "partial 16S ribosomal RNA". It matches the Rfam family "Bacterial small subunit ribosomal RNA", at positions 8 to 253 of the family's 1533-position model. The record is from RNAcentral.